RNAcentral lists this ribosomal RNA (253 nucleotides) under uncultured bacterium. Its description in RNAcentral is "partial 16S ribosomal RNA". It matches the Rfam family "Bacterial small subunit ribosomal RNA", at positions 524 to 776 of the family's 1533-position model. The record is from RNAcentral.
UACGGAGGGUGCGAGCGUUAAUCGGAAUUACUGGGCGUAAAGAGCACGUAGGCGGUUUGUUAAGUCGGAUGUGAAAUCCCUGGGCUCAACCUGGGAACUGCACUCGAUACUGACAAGCUAGAGUAUGGGAGAGGGCUGUGGAAUUCCACGUGUAGCGGUGAAAUGCGUAGAUAUGUGGAGGAACAUCAGUGGCGAAGGCGGCGGCCUGGCCCGAUACUGACGCUGAGGUGCGAAAGCGUGGGGAGCAAACAGG